CUUGUUCUGUAGACCAGACUAUUGACAAACGCACAGAGAUCUGCCUGCCUCUGUCUCCCAAGUGCUAGGAUUAGAGGUGUGUGUCACCACUGCAGUUUUUCAGCCUUAUGUGUGUGUGUGGUAAUUCUUUAUUUGUGAUAAAUUGCUUGACUUAGUAAAAUUAUUUGUGACUACAUGAUAACAAACAUGUUUGAACAUAACAGUUUAAUUAAUAUCACAGAACAGAAAUAUACAUACAUAUAUAUGUGUGUGUAUACACAUACAUAUUAUUUGUUUUUUUUUUAAUGGGAAUCCCUUCUUAAGUAAUACCAAGAAGCAAGCAAGGGGAUUAGAAACUGUCUUUGGACUUAAGUUUUUCCCUUCCGGGUAAAAUUCAGAUUUUUAAGUUAGCUUUCAGAGAUCAGUAAAGGAGUUCUAGAGAAUUCUUACCACUGAAAUAAUUCUAGUAAAUUUCACCUGGGAGCCCUCAGGUUUGGAGUAGUGAGGCUCGGCCUGUGGCCCACUCUAACAGCUGGCUGGUGAUAGAGCAUUGUCUCAUAGCCUUUGGUUUAUACUUGUACUAGUUAAAAGACAGGAGCGCUGUUAGCACUGCUGUUAGGAUAUGACAGACAAAUGCAGCCAGAUGGUUUUCACCUACAUCUUUUUCUAUCUAACCGAGAUUUCUUAACCACAGAUUUUUGUCUUUAUGUACCUAAAAAUUUAAUGGCUUUGACAGUAUUGAUAUCUGACUUGUUCAUGUCACUAUGAUUGCUUUUUGCAUUUGUUUCCGUAUUGAUGAUAUUGAAUGUGCCUUAUUCAGAUCAAUUGCUGGUUAACAUACAAAAAAAUCUUAAUUUUUCCUAGUUGAUUUAUUUUUGACUAAAAUUUCCCAAAUAAAGAGUUACAGAAAUGGGCAUGUGGUCAUCAAUGGUGGGAAGGGUCAAAAGUAUCCUGGAAACAUCAAGCGAUGUUGGUGGCUGUCAGUGGAGAGUGCAGUGCAGGCAGUGCCUGGAACACUUGGCUGCGUUUACGUAGCUUUCAUUCCCACUGUACCUGGUGCUCUUGACUAGGGAAGAGUGAAACAGUAAGCCCAGCCAUGGGAGUUGUUCCGAACGUGGGGCGUGCCAACUGGGGAUGUGUUAAAUGUGUAUGUGUCCAUACCUUGUGUGUUGGAAGUGGGGAGGUGGUUUGUGUCAAAAAUUCACACUUAGAAGCCAGGGAAGAUGGUUUAGUAAAGUGCUCGCUGUGCAAACAUGAGGCUCAGAGUUUGGAUCCCGGCAUACACAUGACAAGUUGGGCUUCCUGCAAAUGACUGAAUCUUGACACCCCAGGAUCUGACACAUGGCAUCUGAAGUCUGCUUGGACAGGCACACACUGACAUACACACACUCGCAAAUAAAUCUAAAGCAGAAAAACUGAAUGGCAGCACGUCUGUAGAUCCAGCUCAAUCUAUAAUUCUAGAUUCAAUGAGAGACCUUCUCAAAAAAUGUGGAGUGUAAUCGAGGAAGACAUUCAACAUUGAUCUCUUACACACACACACACACACACACACACACACACACACACACCACUCCUCAACACCCCAACCUCGGGCCUGGAGUGAUAGCUCAGUUGGUAAAAUGCUUGUCUUGGAAGCACAGUGUCCUGUGGUCAAUCUCCACACCACCUGUUUAAAAAAAAGAAAAGUCUGGAUGUAGUGGCACAGGCUUGUUAGCCCAGCACUGGGGAAGCAUGAGACACAGAUCCCUGGGCUUGAGGGCCAACCUGUCUAGUCUUCUUGUCACUCUCCAGGCCUGUCUCAAAAAACAAGAUGGACCGUACCUAAGGAAGGACACCCACACACCAGAAAAAUUCACUCUGAGAAAGUUGCCACACUGGAAUUAAUGAGUAGAAUCCUGGGUUCCAUGCUUCUGGCCCCUCCCUGCUGGGGCUGGGCCCUGCUGUCCACCCUCAACUCAGACCUGUGUGUUUCUUGACUAAUUUCCUAUUUGAUUCUUGCAGUUUAGGAAAGCAUAUUAAGAACUUUUGGCUAGCCAGAGUGCCGAUGAACCUGCUCGCAGAGAAUGGCGCUUCUUUUUUUUUCUUUCCAGGCAGCAUCUCUUUGUAGCUUUGGAGGCUGUCCUGGAACUCACUCUGUAGACCAGGCUGGCCUCAAACUCCCAGAGAUCCACCUGCCUCUGAGAAUGGGGCUUCUUAAAUGUAGUCCAAAUAGCUACAAUGAAUGUGUAGCAUGGUGGCAGUUUUAUUUUUAAGUGUUUAGGUUAAAAGGCUAGAAAAUUGCUUAUCUACCCCCAACACAAACUGGGUAGUAGUCAGAGUUCCUAGGCAACAUAAUCAAACUUGGGAAGAUUAAAACCUUCUAAAACAAAGCAAAACUAAGUCUUCCUAUUCAGAGAGCCCUGGUGAAGGCAUGAACUGUCAGGGCCUCCAGAGGUGGCUCAGUGGUUAAGACCACUCUCUACUCUUGUAGAGGAUGGGUGUUCAGUUCCUGGCAACUGCAUUUGGUGUCUCACAGCCAUCUAACUCCAGCUCCAGGGGAUCUGAUACCCUCAUGCACAUGCACACAUACACAUAAAUAAAUAAUUUUGAAAAAACAGAUGAGCUGUCAAUAUAAUAAUGCUAUGAGAUUAUUUCCUGAGAUGUAAUUUCAGGUUCUCAUUUGGGUUGACACCAAAUCUGCAAACAGCAAAGAUAAGCUUGGAGCUUAGGAGCACUUGCUAAUCUUGCAGAGGACGUAGGUUUGGUUCCUAGCACCCACAUGGUUAGCUUUCCACUGUCUGUCUAGGUACUAUAAGGAGGGGGCCUGGGAUAGAGAUUUCUGGAGAGAAGGCUGUGGGGGUGGUGGGAGGGAAGUGGUAUAUGGACAUUAAUGGAUGUCUUUUCCUGGGGACCUUUAAGUUCCCUUCUUCCUGAGUCCUCUGUCUUCCAUCCCACAGGAUACCCACAGGCUAGGAGGAAGGUCACAUCCCACUGCUGCCUGGCAAACAGAGCCUUGUACUCCCCGCUUAUCUUCUGGGCACUUCUCCAUCCUAUAUCUAUACCUGAGUCUGGGGCCAUUGUUAACGCCUCUCCUGUUUCAUUUUCAAUAUGCUGCCUGUUCGGGUCUCCCCACUCCUCCCGCUGGGUAGGCUAUGAGCUCUCUUCCAAGCCCUUCUUUCUGUAUUUGAAGCCAGAUUUCAUGUGACGAGUAGAGAUAAUGACCUGUGUCAUUCUGCGUUCCUCUGGAGUUGUAGAGCCCCAUUCUGCCAGGACAGGCAGAAUGAGGCUAGCUUAAAACCUUUUUAAACUAUGGAAGUAGAUCUAAAUAAGGUAGUUCUAACAUGAAUGCUUUGAGAGUUUUGGGAGUCAUAACUAGCUUUGGAAGGGUAGUGGUGAUGGCCGCUCAAUAUUUGAGUAAACCUAUGGCAUGGAAUCCUAUAUACACUUCAAAAUUCAAAAUGGUUCACUAUCCACAGUUUGUGUGGUUUUCUUUUGCUGUUACAAGAAAUACUUUCAAAUUCAUACAGUGCAGACCUGUGUUGUUUGACCCCAGGUUUUUUUUUUUUUUUUUUUUUUUUUUUUAGCCCAGUCUUCGGCUCUUGGCCUUGUGGGUGAGAAAAUUGUCUCUUUCCCUGUUUAGAGGUGACAGAGAGUCUUGGUGUAAGCCAAACCCCAGCUCCACAUCUGGAGACAUGAAGCACGGCAGCUUCUCAGACACCAUCAAUGUGUCCACAUGGCUAAGCCUGGCUCACUCCACACACCAGACAAGCUUUACCCAUGGGUCUGUGUCAGAUGACCCAGCACACACUCCCACUUUUCAGGAUUGGUUUUCAUAUAAGUUUACUUGGAAAAAUCUUUUGGAAUGUAAAAUGACAAAAAUAAAAAAGAAAAAAUCAGCAGGGCAUGAAGGCAUAGCACUCAGGCAGAGGUAAGGGGGUCAGGAUUCAAGAUUAUGUUCAGCUACAAGGGUUGUCUUUGUUGGUUUGGGCCUGGCUGUCCUGAAACUGGGAUGUGCAGACCAGACUGGCCUCACAGAGAUCCACCUGCCUCUGCCUCCCGAGUGCUGGGAUUAAAUGUGUGCACCAUCCAGCCUGGCCACGUGGGCUACACUUGACCCUGUCUCAGAGUAACAGCAACAAGAUCAAAAUGAUAUAAUAGGGAAUAAAUUUAAAAGGCCUCAUUCCUAUACCCUUGUCAUUCCCAAUCUUUUCUCGGUGUGUGUGUGUGUGUGUGUGUGUGUGUGUGUCCCCGUUGUGGGUUAUAUAUGGGCCUGUUUGUGUGCCUGUCUAUGUACACAGAGGUAGGAGGAGGAUGUUGCUUAUACUGCUCAUCAUUCUUCCUCAGCAACUUCUGACUCUGUCCCUUGAGUGCUAAGGUUACAUGUUCAGUCACAUCAGAUUUUUUACACGGUUGUUGUGGAUGUGAACUUGAGGAACCAAAAAUUAAAAUUAAUAAAAGUUUAAGAACUCAAGCCCUAAAUCUAUACAGAAAAAUGGAACUUCUAACAGUAAAGGAAAAUUUAACUUCUUAAGUCAGGAGUGCUGCGGCUGGCACCUGAGCCCUGCUCUCAGAGAAAGGGAGGUGACUCUCCACCACUUGGGUCAAUAUUCCUGUCUGCUAAUUGCUGUUUGUAAGGUUGUAAAGAUCCCCAGGCCAGGGGAUAACUGACAGACCCUGUGACUCUGUAAAUCUGUAACCCUAUGCCCUGUCUUACCUUAAAAUACAUAGUUACUGCUUUACUCUGUACUUUGUAUGACCUUAAGUAAUCAUGGAAACUCUAAAAAUCUGUGCCCUUCAACCUGAUGGUCUGCCCCUUUAAAAGCUUCUCUUUUUGGCUGUUUGGGGUCUCAUUUCCCCCACCAUGGACUGAGAUUCAAACUGGCAGGCUUGAACAAUAAAAAGAAACCUUUUGCUUUUGCAUCAGAAGUGUUAACUCCUUGGGUUGGUCUUUGGGCUCUGAGAACCUGGCACAACAAGCUCAGGUACUCAUGUUUGUGCAACAAGCUUUCUUACAUGCUGAGCCGUCUUUCCAGGCCCCCACAGAAGACUGUAUAAAAUGAUUUAUUUCUACUUCAUUUUUGGGUGUGAGUGUUUUGCCUUCACAUGUAUCUGUGUAUCGUGUCCAUGCAGUGCCUACAAAGACCAGAAGAGACCAUUAGAUCCCCUAGAACUGGAGUUAUAGACAGCUAUGAACCCCCAUAUGGGUGCUGAAAAUUGAAUGUUGGUCCUCUGUGAGAGCCACCAGUGCGCUUAACCACUGAACUAUCCAGUCCCCAAGAGGAGACUGCUUUUUUAUUGGAGUGCGUAACCUUGAAAUUUUCUUAUCUCAGGCAUGUUUUAUGUUACAACUUUCGUCUAUUUUAAAAUUUCUUAUUUUUUUUCCUUUUAGGCUUCUCCUCCAUUGUUCCCAGUCCCAGACCCCUUCUCCUUAGGGGAGGGGCAGACAGGAUGGGAAGAGGGAUUCAGGGCAAGGAAGAAUAGGGCAGUGAGAGUCUCAAUAUCUAGAGGGCUGAGGUCUGGGUUUUAUUAAUCACUCUUGGUUUGGGGAUGGAGUUCAGAGGACUUUAGGAGAAGGUGAGGGUUCUAGCUUAGUUUUAAAAUGUUUAUGUGAUUGUUUCAAGGUGAGAGCUCUUGUUAGUUUUCAGAGCAAGAGUAUAAUUCUCAAUAGGUCAAAGAACCCCAGGUCAAGGGCUGCCCCUUUGUGGAUGGGCAGGAGUGGACACAGGUGUGGUUUAUGCCAAAGGACCUCAGAUAGAGCCUGAGAUGCCCCCUACUCAGGCUCAUGUCAUUGCAUGGUCAAAUCCAGAAGGGAAGGUGAACUCAAGUACUCAAGGAGACUCAGCCACCAAGCAUCUGGUGCCCAUCCCUAUGGGGACGGGAACUGUCACACCUAUUUGAACUUUCCAAGAUGGUGCUCUUCAUUUCCCACCUCGAUGUGCUUGGUGUAUGGCAGAGGGGGCCCACAGUGAUAAGGUAGCGAGGAAGUGUGAUAGCCAAACGUUUCCCCGAGGCCCGGAUCAAGUCUCCUCCAGGACUGCUUGUGUUUGGUAAGAGACCUCUUUGGGAGCUGGUACACCCGGGGUUGUGGGGUGAGUCUUAAGGAAGGAGAUGUGACUUCCUCCUUGGUUGGGGCAAGGUCUUGGCAGGCUAUUCAUUGCUUGCAUUUCUGGAACAGGUCAGGGCUACUCAAAAGAGGAGUCCGUGAGAAACUACCCUCCUUAAUCAUGAGAAAUGGUUUUUUGUCCUAAAUACAUCAAGAUGCUUCCUGACAGAUGACAUAGAUCUGCCAAGGUGUGGGCACGCUGCAGUGUUGGAAUAAACCUGGAACAAACUGCCAGACCCUAACCAAUCUCUCUACAACCGUCUCCCGUCUCUCCCUCCCCAUACCACACAGGACUGAUUGCGUAACACUGUUAAGUCUUCUGAGAAACAACAAUUUGACCCAAAAGUAGAGAGAGGUGGCGAAGCUGCAGGCCUACAAUGGGAGGGGGCAGAAGUCUGUACUACUGAAUUCAUCAUCCUGGCCAAGACACCUGUAAGAACUGUCAAAUAAAUACUGUAAAACUUGCGUUUAGGACAAGAAAUUCACAUCUUUUUAUCUCCUCCACCAAGCAAGACUUUUAUGCAAAAAAAUUUAAUAACCUUUCCACCCACUAAAAUAUUUGUUUACACAAAGGCCCUGCUGUAUUCUGGGAACUUGAUGGUCUGGAACAGUGACCCCGACACCUUGGAGCAAUGGCCCCUCCCCUUUCUCCUGCAGUUCCUGUGCACUAAUUCUUUUCAGGCUAGUCAGUUGAAUAUGACUGUGAGGAUCCCAGGCAAUGGGGGAAAAGACAGUCACCCCAGGAGUGAGAAUAAAAACCAAAUACAUUUCCUGUCCAUGGGUGUUUGCUCUUCAGAGUACUGAAGUUUUGAUCAAUAAUAAAGUUUGCCAUGUCUGGGCAUUUCA
Molecule: long non-coding RNA, 6907 nt
Organism: Mesocricetus auratus (golden hamster)
Lineage: Eukaryota; Metazoa; Chordata; Mammalia; Rodentia; Cricetidae
Exons: 2
Source: RefSeq, a predicted model, not a curated record